CAGCCGCCACGGUAAUACGUAGGUGGCAAGCGUUGUCCGGAAUUAUUGGGCGUAAAGGGCUCGCAGGCGGUUUCUUAAGUCUGAUGUGAAAGCCCCCGGCUCAACCGGGGAGGGUCAUUGGAAACUGGGGAACUUGAGUGCAGAAGAGGAGAGUGGAAUUCCACGUGUAGCGGUGAAAUGCGUAGAGAUGUGGAGGAACACCAGUGGCGAAGGCGACUCUCUGGUCUGUAACUGACGCUGAGGAGCGAAAGCGUGGGGAGCGAACAGGAUUAGAUACCCGUGUAGUCCCUGUCUCUUAUAC
This 301-nucleotide ribosomal RNA is filed under the name uncultured bacterium. RNAcentral's name for it is "partial 16S ribosomal RNA". It matches the Rfam family "Bacterial small subunit ribosomal RNA", at positions 509 to 807 of the family's 1533-position model. The record is from RNAcentral.